CAAGAACAAAGGAAGAAAAGGAAGAACAAGAACCCUAGGGUGAAAAUUCAAGAGAAAAUUAGUGGAUUUCAAGUAAUCAAGCAAUCAAAGGUAAAAUUUCUUGAUUUUGACUUGUGAUCUACCUUUCCCAUGCAUUCUUUUACAUUUUUCAUGGUUGAAUCACAUGAUUUCAUGAUGGGUAUCUUGCUGGAUGAACACUUAGAGAAAGAUUUUGAUGCUUGAUUUGGUUAGAUUUCAAUGUAUUUUAGUGUUUUUAGUUAGUGAUCUGUAGCAUGAAAAACAAACAAGAAAAAUUCAUGUUCUCCCAUUACCCAUCAUUGGCUGAAUUUUCCAUGUAGAGUGUGGAUGGUGGAUUUGAUUUUAUUUCAAGUGAAUUGAUUACGAAAUGAUGAAUUAUGGUGAGAAAAUCAAGUAGGAAAAAUCAUAGUGUUGAUGCACUCACCAUGGCCGAAAUUCUCAAGAAGAAAUGUGAGGAUGGUUUUGCUAAAUUUUAUGUUAUUUGACUUGUGUUUGGUGAUUUGAACUAUUGGGAGAGAAAUGGAAUUAUUUUGAGUUGAAUUGGACGUAUUGGCCAAUUAAUCAGGUGAUAGAUCGAGUUAGGCCAACACCGCAUGUAGACGAUAAUCCGAACAAUUUGCAUUCCAUUUCAUGCAUUAGUAUAGCCUGAAUUGGUUUUCUAACAAUUUAACACAAAUGUAGUAAAUCUAGGUGGUGAGCAUUCUAGCAAAGGUAAAGGAGAUAGUACCCGAGGAUCAAGAAUCGGAGUACUCAAAAUUCGACUCCCGAAAUAGUGAGUAACCUUACCAUCGUCUUAAUUAUCUAAAGUGGUUUUUAUCUAAUUUUGUGAUUUUAUGAAAAAUGAGUUUAAAUGGUAAAUCUUUAUGUUUUAUAAACAAAAUGUGUUUAAAUGAAAUGAUUUUAUAAAUUGUCUCGAAAUUGAAUGAUGGCUUUAAAAAUAGAGUAAUUGGAGACGAUUUGAUGAAUUGUGAAUUUAUGAUUCUAUUUGAUUGGCUUAUGGCAAUAUUGGCAUGAAUGGCUGAAUUGGUAUUUGUGUUGUAAAUAUAUAAACUGUUGUUUGCCUUGAUAGGUUGGAUAAUGAUAAAAUUACCAUGUCAUGUUGUUAAAUUUUAUUGAAUUGGUGGGUUAUUGAUUAGUCGCUGCAGUGGACGAGUUUUCGUGGACCAGCCUAUUAGAGGGGCACGGUAACCCUAUUAUAUUCUUACCUCGAUUGGAGAGGCAUGUAGGAUAACUCCCGAGGUACACUUUUAGAGUUCACUUCAUGCCAAACCACCACGUGAGGGUGAACUCAGCCAACGCCAAGGAACGGCUAUGUUUUCAAAAUAAAACCAUGAUUUAUGCGUACAUAACUUUUUAUCAGCCUUGGCAGACUCGAUUGAGAUAGCCCUCGGCCAAGGUAUCCUUGAUAACUGAGUAUGAGAAUGAUUUUGGCACGAGCCAAAGUUUUAAGAAAUUCAUAAGCCAUGUUGAUUACUCGAUUUAUGUGAAUUGAUUUUAUUUGGUUGAAAUGAGUUGAAAGGUGAUGAAUUACAGUAUGAUGAUCUAUUUUAAUCUGUCUCUAUUCACUCAAUUUUGGAUAUUUUAGAUGGUAUUUGUUUACUCAUUGGGAUUAUAUAAUCUCAUCACCCUCCUUUUCACCCAUUUCAGGCUCAGGAUAGUCAGUAGAUAGCUCACUUUAUUGAGGGCUACAGUUGGACUUCCAUCCUCAAAAACUGUUGGUUUACCACUUGUGAUACUUUUAGUCGUUCAUAGGCCCAUGUGUCACUGUAAAUUAAAUUUUAUACUUUAGUUAUCUGUAUUACAGUAUGUAUGAAUUUAUUUAACUUUUACGCUACAAAAAUUAUUUACCGGUAACUCUAUAAAUAUUGUUUUAUAAGAAAAUAUAAUAUUUUAUUAAAUAUUUUUAUUAUAUUCAAAUAGUUAUAGUUUCACUUUAAAUGAAUGUUUUAGACAUCUAAACUUAUUUUUGAUUAUGAAAUAUGUGUUU
RNAcentral lists this long non-coding RNA (2005 nucleotides) under Theobroma cacao (cacao). Its description in RNAcentral is "long non-coding RNA (TCAC_LNC001040)". Lineage: Eukaryota; Viridiplantae; Streptophyta; Magnoliopsida; Malvales; Malvaceae. The record is from RNAcentral.